Molecule: unclassified non-coding RNA, 352 nt
Filed under: soil metagenome
Description: partial contains 5.8S ribosomal RNA, internal transcribed spacer 2, and large subunit ribosomal RNA
Rfam family: 5.8S ribosomal RNA (bases 1-120)
Source: RNAcentral
GAUGAAGAACGCAGCGAAAUGCGAUAAGUAAUGUGAAUUGCAGAAUUCAGUGAAUCAUCGAAUCUUUGAACGCACAUUGCGCCCGCCAGUAUUCUGGCGGGCAUGCCUGUUCGAGCGUCAUUACAACCCUCAGGCCCCCGGGCCUGGCGUUGGGGAUCGGCGGAGCCCCCCGUGGGCACACGCCGUCCCCCAAAUGCAGUGGCGGUCCCGCCGCAGCUUCCAUCGCGUAGUAGCUAACACCUCGCGACUGGAGAUCGGCGCGGCCACGCCGUAAAACACCCAACUCUUCUGAAGUUGACCUCGAAUCAGGUAGGAAUACCCGCUGAACUUAAGCAUAUCAAUAAGCGGAGGA